GCAGUGGUAGUUCAGUGGUAGAAUGCUUGCCUUCCAUGUGGGAUACCUGGGUUUGAUUCCUGGCCAGUGCU
Transfer RNA from Loxodonta africana (African savanna elephant), 71 nucleotides. It matches the Rfam family "tRNA". Rfam says of the family: Transfer RNA (tRNA) molecules are approximately 80 nucleotides in length. Their secondary structure includes four short double-helical elements and three loops (D, anti-codon, and T loops). The record is from Rfam. NCBI's taxonomy places the organism in Eukaryota, Metazoa, Chordata, Mammalia, Proboscidea, Elephantidae.